CUGGCUCAGGAUGAACGCUGGCGGCGUGCCUAAUACAUGCAAGUCGAACGAGGUAGCAAUACCGAGUGGCGAACGGGUGAGUAACACGUAGGUAACCUGCCCUUAAGCUUGGGAUACCCAGAGGAAACUUUGGCUAAUACCGGAUAACAACAGAGAAGGCAUCUUCUUUGCUUGAAAGGCCCCUUCAAGGGUCACUUAAGGAUGGACCUGCGGCGCAUUAGCUAGUUGGUGAGAUAACAGCCCACCAAGGCGAGGAUGCGUAGCCGAACUGAGAGGUUGAUCGGCCACAUUGGAACUGAGACACGGUCCAAACUCCUACGGGAGGCAGCAGUAAGGAGUUUUCGGCAAUGGGGGAAACCCUGACCGAGCAACGCCGCGUGAGUGAUGACGGCCCUAUGGGUUGUAAAGCUCUGUUGUAAGGGACGAACGAUCGUUUAGGAAAUGAAACGGUUCUGACGGUACCUUACCAGAAAGCCACGGCUAACUACGUGCCAGCCGCCGC
This 502-nucleotide ribosomal RNA is filed under the name uncultured bacterium. RNAcentral's name for it is "bacterial SSU rRNA". It matches the Rfam family "Bacterial small subunit ribosomal RNA", at positions 19 to 518 of the family's 1533-position model. The record is from RNAcentral.